UACAGAGGGCUCGAGCGUUAUGCGGAAUCACUGGGCUUAAAGCGUGUGUAGGCGGACCGGUAAGUGCAUUGUGAAAUCCCACAGCUUAACUGUGGAACUGCUUGGUAUACUGCCAGUCUUGAGCCAGCUAGGGGCUACCGGAACAAAUGGUGGAGCGGUGAAAUGCGUAGAUAUCAUUUGGAACGCCAAUGGUGAAAACAGGUAGCUGGGGCUGUGCUGACGCUGAGACACGAAAGCCAGGGGAGCAAACGGG
Molecule: ribosomal RNA, 253 nt
Filed under: uncultured bacterium
Lineage: Bacteria
Description: partial 16S ribosomal RNA
Rfam family: Bacterial small subunit ribosomal RNA
Source: RNAcentral